Molecule: small nucleolar RNA, 107 nt
Organism: Humulus lupulus (European hop)
Lineage: Eukaryota; Viridiplantae; Streptophyta; Magnoliopsida; Rosales; Cannabaceae
Source: RefSeq, a predicted model, not a curated record
UAGCCAUGUUGUGGGCAGCGAUGUAGUAAAUCUUUGUAUCGCUCUCAUGCCUCAUAGAAAGGCUCAUAUUCAAAUUGUUUGAACUGCCCAAUUUCACUCCUCAACUG